UGGGGAAUAUUGGACAAUGGGGGCAACCCUGAUCCAGCCAUGCCGCGUGUGUGAAGAAGGCCUUUUGGUUGUAAAGCACUUUAAGCAGUGAAGAAGACUCCAUGGUUAAUACCCAUGGACGAAGACAUUAGCUGCAGAAUAAGCACCGGCUAACUCUGUGCCAGCAGCCGCGGUAAUACAGAGGGUGCAAGCGUUAAUCGGAAUUACUGGGCGUAAAGCGAGCGUAGGUGGCUUGAUAAGUCAGAUGUGAAAGCCCCGGGCUUAACCUGGGAACGGCAUCUGAUACUGUUAGGCUAGAGUAGGUGAGAGGAAGGUAGAAUUCCAGGUGUAGCGGUGAAAUGCGUAGAGAUCUGGAGGAAUACCGAUGGCGAAGGCAGCCUUCUGGCAUCAUACUGACACUGAGGUUCGAAAGCGUGGGUAGCAAACA
Molecule: ribosomal RNA, 427 nt
Filed under: uncultured bacterium
Lineage: Bacteria
Description: partial 16S ribosomal RNA
Rfam family: Bacterial small subunit ribosomal RNA
Source: RNAcentral